GGACAGAUGGGAGCUUGCUCCCUGAUGUCAGCGGCGGACGGGUGAGUAACACGUGGGUAACCUGCCUGUAAGACUGGGAUAACUCCGGGAAACCGGGGCUAAUACCGGAUGCUUGAUUGAACCGCAUGGUUCAAUUAUAAAAGGUGGCUUCUACUACCACUUACAGAUGGACCCGCGGCGCAAUAACUAGUUGGUGAAGUAACGGCUCACCAAGGCCACGAUGCGUAACCCAACUGAGAAGGUGAUCGGCCACACUGGGACUGAAACACGGCCCAGACUCCUACCGGAAGCAGCAGUAAGGAAUCUUCCGCAAUGGAAGAAAGUCUGAAGGAACAACGCCCCGUGAAUGAAGAAGGUUUUCCGAACGUAAAACUCUGUUGUUAGGGAAGAACAAGUACCGUUCGAAUAAGGCGGUACCUUGACGGUACCUAACCAGAAAGCCACGGCUAACUACCUGCCAACAGCCGCGGUAAUACCUAAGUGGCAAGCGUUGUCCGGAAUUAUUGGGCGUAAAGCGCGCGCAAGCCGUUUCU
RNAcentral lists this ribosomal RNA (533 nucleotides) under Bacillus licheniformis. Its description in RNAcentral is "bacterial SSU rRNA". It matches the Rfam family "Bacterial small subunit ribosomal RNA", at positions 68 to 583 of the family's 1533-position model. Lineage: Bacteria; Bacillati; Bacillota; Bacilli; Caryophanales; Bacillaceae. The record is from RNAcentral.